This is a non-coding RNA of Drosophila suzukii, 442 nucleotides long. The record is from RefSeq and is a predicted model, not a curated record. NCBI's taxonomy places the organism in Eukaryota, Metazoa, Arthropoda, Insecta, Diptera, Drosophilidae.
AAGGAAAAGGUUUUUGCUUUUACGAAGAGCAAAUACAAAACAAAGAGCGACUUAAACUAUUAAAGACAGUUCAGAAAACUGUAACACUUGAUUACAAGGACUACAUUUACACUGUAUUGCUCACAUCUGUCAUCUUAAAUAAUUCGUGGACCGUCAUUAAAAGAACCAAAAAGCGAAAGAAAUUAUCACUACUAUGACUCGCAGGAAAGUUUAGUACGCACAUGCAGGCAUACGAAUGUGGCAAAACAAAAAAAUGUGUGAUUAUAAAAAAUAUGUAUAAUAAUGUAUAAUAUGUAUAUGUAUAUAUGUAUCAUAUAAAUUCUAAGAGUUACGUUAGGUACAAAUGUAUUUAAAACAAAAGUAAUGAUAACGUGUUAGCAUGGUAAAAAAUAGAGUUUAAGCAGAACAAUUGUUUGAUUAUAUGUUUACGUUUAUUUUCAAU